AAAUUUAGGAUAAUACUCAUAAACCAAGGGCCUUCAAAGCCCUAAAUAAGAGCACACACCUCUUAAUUUCU
This 71-nucleotide transfer RNA is filed under the name Cnemaspis monachorum. RNAcentral describes it as "tRNA-Trp". Lineage: Eukaryota; Metazoa; Chordata; Lepidosauria; Squamata; Gekkonidae. The record is from RNAcentral.